Molecule: ribosomal RNA, 398 nt
Filed under: uncultured bacterium
Lineage: Bacteria
Description: bacterial SSU rRNA
Rfam family: Bacterial small subunit ribosomal RNA
Source: RNAcentral
AUUGAACGCUGGCGGAAUGCUUUACACAUGCAAGUCGAGCGGCAGCGCGGGGGCAACCCUGGCGGCGAGCGGCGAACGGGUGAGUAACACAUCGGAACGUACCCAGUGGUGGGGGAUAGCCCGGCGAAAGCCGGAUUAAUACCGCAUACGACCUGAGGGGGAAAUGGGGGACCGCAAGGCCUCACGCCGUUGGAGCGGCCGAUGUUCGAUUAGCUAGUUGGUAGGGUAAAGGCCUACCAAGGCGACGAUCGAUAGCUGGUCUGAGAGGACGACCAGCCACACUGGAACUGAGACACGGUCCAGACUCCUACGGGAGGCAGCAGUGGGGAAUUUUGGACAAUGGGGGCAACCCUGAUCCAGCCAUUCCGCGUGAGUGAAGAAGGCCUCGGUUGUAAGAC